This 245-nucleotide long non-coding RNA is filed under the name Panax ginseng (ginseng). Its description in RNAcentral is "long non-coding RNA (PGIN_LNC004951)". The record is from RNAcentral. Lineage: Eukaryota; Viridiplantae; Streptophyta; Magnoliopsida; Apiales; Araliaceae.
UCAAUAGGAAUUCAUGUAGUGAUAGUAGUACAAGUGAUCCUUGGACUUGAGAUCAUCAUAGUAUCUUGUGUGUGAUGAGUUAUACUUUGACUUAUUCCUUAAGACCCUUAGGGUAUAUCAAAAGGGUAUGCUUGGGUAUAAUAAGUUGUACAUGGAGAUAAUGUAUGAUCAAUAAAGAAUCUACCACUUCUAGUAAAAUAAGAGAAAUGUCCUAUGUGAUUCGAUAAAUGACAACCCAGUAGUCC